CCAGAGUCUGGUGAGAGAGACUAGGACCAGGUUAGCGUGUGGAGCGCCCCAGAGCCUGGUGAGAGAGACUAGGACCAGGUUAGCGUGUGGAGCGCCCCAGAGUCUGGUGAGAGAGACUAGGACCAGGUUAGCGUGUGGAGCGCCCCAGAGUCUGGUGAGAGAGACUAGGACCAGGUUAGCGUGUGGAGCGCCCCAGAGUCUGGUGAGAGAGACUAGGACCAGGUUAGCGUGUGGAGCGCCCCAGAGUCUGGUGAGAGAGACUAGGACCAGGUUAGCGUGUGGAGCGCCCCAGAGUCUGGUGAGAGAGACUAGGACCAGGUUAGCGUGUGGAGCGCCCCAGAGUCUGGUGAGAGAGACUAGGACCAGGUUAGCGUGUGGAGCGCCCCAGAGUCUGGUGAGAGAGACUAGGACCAGGUUAGCGUGUGGAGCGCCCCAGAGUCUGGUGAGAGAGACUAGGACCAGGCUCUC
Long non-coding RNA from Oncorhynchus keta (chum salmon), 468 nucleotides. RefSeq lists it as uncharacterized. The record is from RefSeq and is a predicted model, not a curated record. The transcript has 4 exons. NCBI's taxonomy places the organism in Eukaryota, Metazoa, Chordata, Actinopteri, Salmoniformes, Salmonidae.